AGUCGAGCGGAUUGAUGGGAGCUUGCUCCCAUCAGUCAGCGGCGGACGGGUGAGUAACACGUGGGUAACCUGCCUGUAAGACUGGGAUAACUCCGGGAAACCGGGGCUAAUACCGGAUAACUCAUUUCCUCGCAUGAGGAAAUGUUGAAAGGUGGCUUUUAGCUAUCACUUACAGAUGGACCCGCGGCGCAUUAGCUAGUUGGUGAGGUAACGGCUCACCAAGGCGACGAUGCGUAGCCGACCUGAGAGGGUGAUCGGCCACACUGGGACUGAGACACGGCCCAGACUCCUACGGGAGGCAGCAGUAGGGAAUCUUCCGCAAUGGACGAAAGUCUGACGGAGCAACGCCGCGUGAGUGAUGAAGGUUUUCGGAUCGUAAAACUCUGUUGUUAGGGAAGAACAAGUACCGUUCGAAUAGGGCGGUACCUUGACGGUACCUAACCAGAAAGCCACGGCUAACUACGUGCCAGCAGCCGCGGUAAUACGUAGGUGGCAAGCGUUGUCCGGAAUUAUUGGGCGUAAAGCGCGCGCAGGUGGUUUCUUAAGUCUGAUGUGAAAGCCCACGGCUCAACCGUGGAGGGUCAUUGGAAA
RNAcentral lists this ribosomal RNA (591 nucleotides) under Bacillus sp. CH429b_13T. RNAcentral's name for it is "bacterial SSU rRNA". It matches the Rfam family "Bacterial small subunit ribosomal RNA", at positions 60 to 632 of the family's 1533-position model. Lineage: Bacteria; Bacillati; Bacillota; Bacilli; Caryophanales; Bacillaceae. The record is from RNAcentral.